AACCCACACAGGAGUCCUGCAUUGGACAACAGCCCUAGUCGAUUGCGACAGGUCCAUCCGGCGAGCUAGUCCAGCAGAACCCUCUGCCACUGCCUCGCCGAACAUGGCGGACAGUGGCGAUCCGCAUCCCGUCCGGGAUGACGCAUCCCCAUUUUCCCUUCGUGUCCCUUCCCUCGCGCCAACGCGCAGCGGGAAGCCGCG
RNAcentral lists this small RNA (201 nucleotides) under Pseudomonas aeruginosa PAK. Its description in RNAcentral is "potential sRNA". Lineage: Bacteria; Pseudomonadati; Pseudomonadota; Gammaproteobacteria; Pseudomonadales; Pseudomonadaceae. The record is from RNAcentral.